UUUAUUGGAAGUUUGAUCCUGGCUCAGGACGAACACUGGCGGCGUGCCUAAUACAUGCAAGUCGAGCGGACCUUGUGUUUCCUUCGGGAGACGCCAGGUUAGCGGCGGACAGGUGAGUAACCACGUAGGCAACCUGCCUGUAAGACCGGGAUAACUUGCGGGAAACGUGAGCUAAUACCGGAUAGCUGGUUUCUUCGCAUGAAGAAGUCAUGAAAGACGGGGCAACCUGUCACUUACAGAUGGGCCUGCGGCGCAUUGGCUAGUUGGUAGGGUAACGGCUUACCAAGGCGACGAUGCGUAGCCGACCUGAGAGGGUGAACGGCCACACUGGGACUGAGACACGGCCCAGACUCCUACGGGAGGCAGCAGUAGGGAAUCUUCCGCAAUGGACGGACGAAAGUCUGACGGAGCAACGCCGCGUGAGUGAUGAAGGUUUUCGGAUCGUAAAGCUCUGUUGCCAAGGAAGAACGGCCAGGGGAGUAACUGCCCCUGGAGUGACGGUACUUGAGAAGAAAGCCCCGGCUAACUACGUGCCAGCAGCCGCGGUAAUACGUAGGGGCAAGCGUUGCUCGGAAUUAUUGGGCGUAAAAGCCGCGCGCAGGCGUCUUUUUAAGUCUGGUGUUUAAGCCAGAGACUCGGCGGUUCGCACUGGAAACUGGGAGACUUGGGUGUAGGAGAGAGGAGUAAUUCCACGUGUAGCGGUGAAAUGCGUAGAGAUGAACAUAGUGGCGGCGAGCACAGGCUCCUCUGUGACGCUGAGGCGCGAAAGCGUGGGGGAGCAAGCAAGUUAGAUACCCUGGUAGUCCACGCCGUAAACGAUGAAUGCUAGGUGUUAGGGGUUUCGAUACCCUUGGUGCCGAAGUUAACACAGUAAGCAUUCCGCCUGGGAAUCCCCGGUCGCAAGACUGAAACUCAAAGGAGUGACGGGGACCCGCACAAGCAGUGGAGUAUGUGGUUUAAUUCGAAGCAACGCGGGAACCUUCUGAGCCUUGACAUCCCUCCUGACCGGUUUAGAGAUAGAUCUUUUCCUUCGGGGACAGAGGAGACAGGUGGUGCAUGGUUGUCGUCAGCUCGUGUCGUGAGAUGUUGGGUUAAGUCCCGCAACGAGCGCAACCCUUGAUCUUAGUUGCCAGCACGCAGAGGUGGGCACUCUAAGAUGACUGCCGGUGACAAACCGGAGGAAGGUGGGGAUGACGUCAAAUCAUCAUGCCCCUUAUGGCCUGGGCUACACACGUACUACAAUGGUCGGUACAACGGGAAGCAGAAGGAGCGAUCCGGAGCCAAUCCUCAAAAGCCGAUCUCAGUUCGGAUUGCAGGCUGCAACUCGCCUGCAUGAAGUCGGAAUUGCUAGUAAUCGCGGAUCAGCAUGCCGCGGUGAAUACGUUCCCGGGUCUUGUACACACCGCCCGUCACACCACGAGAGUUUACAACACCCGAAGUCGGUAGAAGGUAACCACGCAAGGGGCGCAAACCGCCGAAGGUGGGGUGAAUGAUUGGGGUGAAGUCGUAACAAGGUAGCCGUAUCGGAAGGUGCGGCUGGAUCACCUCCUUU
This 1552-nucleotide ribosomal RNA is filed under the name Paenibacillus larvae. RNAcentral's name for it is "bacterial SSU rRNA". It matches the Rfam family "Bacterial small subunit ribosomal RNA". The record is from RNAcentral. Lineage: Bacteria; Bacillati; Bacillota; Bacilli; Caryophanales; Paenibacillaceae.